RNAcentral lists this ribosomal RNA (253 nucleotides) under uncultured bacterium. Its description in RNAcentral is "partial 16S ribosomal RNA". It matches the Rfam family "Bacterial small subunit ribosomal RNA", at positions 524 to 776 of the family's 1533-position model. The record is from RNAcentral.
UACGUAGGGUGCAAGCGUUGUCCGGAAUUAUUGGGCGUAAAGAGCUCGUAGGCGGUUUGUCGCGUCGAAUGUGAAAACCCGGGGCUCAACCCCGGGCCUGCAUUCGAUGCGGGCAGACUAGAGUUCGGUAGGGGAGUCUGGAAUUCCUGGUGUAGCGGUGAAAUGCGCAGAUAUCAGGAGGAACACCGGUGGCGAAGGCGGGACUCUGGGCCGAUACUGACGCUGAGGAGCGAAAGCGUGGGGAGCAAACAGG